UACGAAGGGGGCUAGCGUUGCUCGGAAUCACUGGGCGUAAAGGGUGCGUAGGCGGGUCUUUAAGUCAGGGGUGAAAUCCUGGAGCUCAACUCCAGAACUGCCUUUGAUACUGAGGAUCUUGAGUUCGGGAGAGGUGAGUGGAACUGCGAGUUGUAGAGGUGAAAUUCGUAGAUAUUCGCAAGAACACCAGUGGCGAAGGCGGCUCACUGGCCCGAUACUGACGCUGAGGCACGAAAGCGUGGGGAGCAAAC
Molecule: ribosomal RNA, 251 nt
Filed under: uncultured bacterium
Lineage: Bacteria
Description: partial 16S ribosomal RNA
Rfam family: Bacterial small subunit ribosomal RNA
Source: RNAcentral